This 74-nucleotide transfer RNA is filed under the name Spirobacillus cienkowskii. It matches the Rfam family "tRNA". Rfam says of the family: Transfer RNA (tRNA) molecules are approximately 80 nucleotides in length. Their secondary structure includes four short double-helical elements and three loops (D, anti-codon, and T loops). The record is from Rfam by way of RNAcentral. Lineage: Bacteria; Pseudomonadati; Bdellovibrionota; Oligoflexia; Silvanigrellales. RNAcentral also lists the same sequence under 2 other names.
GCGCGGUUAGCUCAGCUGGAUAGAGCACCAGACUACGAAUCUGGCGGUCAGGCGUUCGAAUCGCUUACCGCGCG